Non-coding RNA from Chelonoidis abingdonii (Abingdon island giant tortoise), 139 nucleotides. The record is from RefSeq and is a predicted model, not a curated record. Lineage: Eukaryota; Metazoa; Chordata; Testudines; Testudinidae.
AGCUGAACUGGGUGGGGAGGAAUAGCUCAGUGGUUUGCGCAUUCGCCUGCUAAACCCAGCUUUGAGACUUCCAUCCUUGAGGCGGACAUGUAAGGAUCUGAUCUGUAUGGGGAUUGGUCCCGCUUUGAGCAGGGGGUUG